GGUCUCGUGGCCGAGCGGUUAGGCACCGGUCUGCAAAACCGUGCACUCCGGUUCGAAUCCGGACGAGACCUC
Molecule: transfer RNA, 72 nt
Filed under: compost metagenome
Description: tRNA-Cys
Rfam family: tRNA
About the family: Transfer RNA (tRNA) molecules are approximately 80 nucleotides in length. Their secondary structure includes four short double-helical elements and three loops (D, anti-codon, and T loops).
Source: RNAcentral